RNAcentral lists this unclassified non-coding RNA (1456 nucleotides) under Leishmania donovani. RNAcentral's name for it is "gene:unknown". Lineage: Eukaryota; Euglenozoa; Kinetoplastea; Trypanosomatida; Trypanosomatidae. The record is from RNAcentral.
CUGUUUAAACUUUAUUUUCCGACGUGUCCAUUCUGCCACGAACACGUCAACAGGUAUACACGCAUACACAACCACAGGUCUCCUGCCUCUGUGGCACUGCAGCUGUGCCAGGGAACCGGCCCGUCAGCGCCGCGUGACGUCGUUCAGUUCAUUGCAAUGCCACUGCCUCACAGCGCAGGCAAGGUCCCGGCUCGCGCUCAACAUCACCGCAGCGCAGCCAAAGGCAGAGACAAAGAAAAGAGCAGUGGUUGUAUGUGUACAUUUGUUGAAUCAUCGACACGAUUUCGUAGUGAGCUGGUCCUAACCUGAUUAUCUCAUGCCCACGUGUCUCUUCCGCACAGCGCCAGCUCAGACCGCUCCGCGGGCACCAAGAGCCCCCGCAGCUGUAGCCGAGGGCAGGAUAUGCAGGCUGCUUGGCCUCCCCACAUAAAGAGUAGGCACCGCACCCUGAAUACUACGGUGCGGCAGCUCGCAUCAUGAGGGCCCACGUUGACAGCAACGAAAAACAGAGCGAAGAGCUGCAGGGAGGCGGAAGAGUACCGAGGAGAGGAGGGGCGGGCGGGGGGGUGCGCACACGCAAGGACGCACUCCCCCCGGCCCACCCCAUCAAGUCACCUUUUCCAUUUUGUCUUUUCGAACACUAACAGGAAGAAAUAAUAAUUCAUAAAAUGUGAUCAACGAUGUGUGUGCGGGAAAGAAAAGCGAACGGAGCGUUGAAGCGAGACUCUCGUCAGUGCCGUACGAGGCAGGCUUCGAAGGCGGAGCGGCUGAGAGGGAGAGAUGGAGGGAGGGAGGGAGGGGACCAAGCGAUGAUGGCUAGGAGAUCUGCAGCAUUUGCCGGCGGCUGCCAUAUGCCCGUCGCCUUCUCCUUCCUCCUCACAUUGGGCUGCGCUCUACCUCCGAGAGGAGCAGGCCUGGGGUGUGAUCUGACCCCUCUGCGUGUGUGGGUGUGUGGGUGACAUGACGUGAGAUGUGUGAGCUGACGUGUGCCUCUGGCAUGACGCGGUGACCCAUACGUGCGAUGUCAGCCCUGCCUGCUCUCUUGCUGCUCGCCCCCCUCCCCUUUUACUUCACUCACCUUCCCCAAGCGCUUCUCACUUCACAGUGAUGCUGCGUGUGACUGGGCUCUCGCUAUCCGUCUGCACCUCUGUGCAGACGGUUUUGUGUGCACAGGCGCGCACAUGCGCAAGAGGCACCCCAGCUGUGAUCCAGUGCAUGUACUCCUGCGACCUCUCUCUCCCUGCGCGUUGCUACACGUGGUUUCUCUUGUGUGCAAUGGUGCCGCUUGGCCCCUCCCUCUCUUUCUCUCACGCCGUCCGUACCACCACCACCACCACCCCUCUCCAUUCAACUCUUGUAUGUGACACACACACACACACACACACACACACACACAUGCGCGUCUCUCUUCGCGGACUCCCACCAUUCCCCUCUGCCUGCUGACACGCGGAGAAAG